UACUAAGGGGGCUAGCGUUGCUCGGAAUUACUGGGCGUAAAGGGCGCGUAGGCGGAUAUUUAAGUUAGAGGUGAAAGCCCAGGGCUCAACCCUGGAACAGCCUUUAAUACUGGAUAUCUUGAGUUCGGGAGAGGUGAGUGGAACUCCGAGUGUAGAGGUGAAAUUCGUAGAUAUUCGGAAGAACACCAGUGGCGAAGGCGACUCACUGGCCCGAUACUGACGCUGAGGCGCGAAAGCGUGGGGAGCAAACAGG
RNAcentral lists this ribosomal RNA (253 nucleotides) under uncultured bacterium. Its description in RNAcentral is "partial 16S ribosomal RNA". It matches the Rfam family "Bacterial small subunit ribosomal RNA", at positions 524 to 776 of the family's 1533-position model. The record is from RNAcentral.